UACAGAGGUCCCGAGCGUUGUUCGGAUUCACUGGGCGUAAAGGGUGCGUAGGUGGUGAGGUAAGUCGGAUGUGAAAGCUCCGAGCUCAACUCGGAAAUGGCAUUGGAAACUACCUUGCUAGAGGGUUUGAGGGGGGACUGGAAUACUUGGUGUAGCAGUGAAAUGCGUAGAUAUCAAGUGGAACACCAGUGGCGAAGGCGAGUCCCUGGAAAACUCCUGACACUGGGGCACGAAAGCUAGGGGAGCAAACAGG
RNAcentral lists this ribosomal RNA (253 nucleotides) under uncultured bacterium. Its description in RNAcentral is "partial 16S ribosomal RNA". It matches the Rfam family "Bacterial small subunit ribosomal RNA", at positions 524 to 776 of the family's 1533-position model. The record is from RNAcentral.